Molecule: ribosomal RNA, 839 nt
Filed under: uncultured crenarchaeote
Lineage: Archaea; Thermoproteati; Thermoproteota
Description: bacterial SSU rRNA
Rfam family: Archaeal small subunit ribosomal RNA
Source: RNAcentral
CAUACGGCUCAGUAACGCGUAGUCAACCUAACCUAUGGACGGGAAUAACCUCGGGAAACUGAGAAUAAUGCCCGAUAGAGCAUUAUGCCUGGAAUGGUUUAUGUUCCAAAUGAUUUAUCGCCGUAGGAUGGGACUGCGGCCUAUCAGUUUGCUGGUGAGGUAAUGGCCCACCAAGACUAUUACAGGUACGGGCUCUGAGAGGAGUAGCCCGGAGAUGGGUACUGAGACACGGACCCAGGCCCUAUGGGGCGCAGCAGGCGAGAAAACUUUGCAAUGUGCGAAAGCACGACAAGGUUAAUCCGAGUGGUUUCUGCUAAAGAAACCUUUUGUCAGUCCUAGAAACACUGAUGAAUAAGGGGUGGGCAAGUUCUGGUGUCAGCCGCCGCGGUAAAACCAGCACCUCAAGUGGUCAGGAUGAUUAUUGGGCCUAAAGCAUCCGUAGCCGGCUCUGUAAGUUUUCGGUUAAAUCUGUACGCUCAACGUACAGGCUGCCGGGAAUACUGCAGAGCUAGGGAGUGGGAGAGGUAGACGGUACUCGGUAGGAAGGGGUAAAAUCCUUUGAUCUAUUGAUGACCACCUGUGGCGAAGGCGGUCUACCAGAACACGUCCGACGGUGAGGGAUGAAAGCUGGGGGAGCAAACCGGAUUAGAUACCCGGGUAGUCCCAGCUGUAAACUAUGCAAACUCAGUGAUGCAUUGGCUUGUGGCCAAUGCAGUGCUGCAGGGAAGCCGUUAAGUUUGCCGCCUGGGAAGUACGUACGCAAGUAUGAAACUUAAAGGAAUUGGCGGGGGAGCACCACAAGGGGUGAAGCCUGCGGUUCAAUUGGAGUCAACGCCGGG